GUGCAUGGAAGCAGACAAAAAAUAAGAAUCUUGAUGAAAAAGAAAAACAACAUAGUAAGAAAGAACAAGCAAAGUAUAUAUAUAUAUGUACUACUACUUUAAUUUGAGUACCAAUUAGGUAAGGUUAACAAAAGAGUACAGUGAACUCAAUUGAAUUAUUUUAAUUAUAUGAUAUUUAAUCUAUUAACUUUAUAUUUUAUUUUAGCAUUAUUAACAUAGUAAUACCUAAAUCAAACGAAAAAAUGUGAAAGAUAGGAACAUGUUUUACCCUCAGC
This 275-nucleotide long non-coding RNA is filed under the name Solanum tuberosum (potato). RNAcentral describes it as "long non-coding RNA (STUB_LNC003246)". Lineage: Eukaryota; Viridiplantae; Streptophyta; Magnoliopsida; Solanales; Solanaceae. The record is from RNAcentral.